Molecule: unclassified non-coding RNA, 336 nt
Filed under: soil metagenome
Description: partial contains 5.8S ribosomal RNA, internal transcribed spacer 2, and large subunit ribosomal RNA
Rfam family: 5.8S ribosomal RNA (bases 1-120)
Source: RNAcentral
GAUGAAGAACGCAGCGAAAUGCGAUAAGUAAUGUGAAUUGCAGAAUUCAGUGAAUCAUCGAAUCUUUGAACGCACAUUGCGCCCGCCAGUAUUCUGGCGGGCAUGCCUGUUCGAGCGUCAUUUCAACCAUCAAGCCCCAGGCUUGUGUUGGGGACCUGCGGCUGCCGCAGGCCCUGAAAACCAGUGGCGGGCUCGCUGUCACACCUGGCGUAGUAGAUUUUAUCUCGCUCAGGGCGUGCUGCGGGUUCCGGCCGUUAAAAAGCCUUUUUUACCCAAGGUUGACCUCGGAUCAGGUAGGAAGACCCGCUGAACUUAAGCAUAUCAAUAAGCGGAGGA